CUGUAAUCUCUUUGGCAAAGAGCGAAAGGAGAGAAGAGAUGCCUGGGAACUACAUUUUCCAUUGUCCCUUGGUAAAAGUUUCAGGUUAGAUUGAGAAACGUUGGGCACAAUUUGGAAGACAGAAGAGAAGACAUGAUUUUUCCACUGCACUUGUGAGAAGACACAUAGGCACUAAGCAAGGCAAUGGGGUACCAUUAGCUCACAGUAGACAAAGGAAGUAGAAGUUUCUAACAUUAGUGCCUUUUCUUUGGAAUGUAAACUAACCAUCUCCUCUGAGAAGUGCUCUUUGACAGAAAUCCCAGAUCAUGAACAUACAUGAAAAUAUUCAUGGAGAAUUGUCUCCUACCAAAUUUUAUGGAAAACUCAUAUUUCAAAAAAAGACACGUCUAAGAAUGAGGCCAAGCUACAUUUGACAGCAUUUCUCCCCUAUCAUUUUAAACUGAAAAUCCCAAGACUGAUAAAAUUUCAAAACUAAGCUGAAAUAAGAAGAAGGAAAAUAGUGUUUCCGGUGUUUAUCAUUCCACUGGCCCAACAACAACAGCCAAUCAUAUUCAACUGAAAUAAUUUCAAAUUACUUAUUUAAUACUAGAUGUAUGCCAACUAGGAUAUUAGAUAUAAAAAUACCAAGUAAUAUAAUUUAUGUCUUUAAGUUCAAUAGCUACCAGGGAACAUAGACAUGUUAACAAUUAAUUAUAAAACAAUCCUAGAGUGUCUUUUUUAAUUGUGUUUACAAAGUUUUAUCAAAGCCUAGGGGAAUCAGUCACUUGGUUUUACACAAGUUAUUUGGUCAAGUGAACUUUUUUUUUUUUUUUUCACAGAUUGAAGCAUCUGACUAUUUCUAACACUGUGAUCCACAGUAUUAAGACAAUUAAAAUGCCAUAUUUAGGGAAUAUAUAAAUGUAUUAUUUUUCUUUAUGCAAAUUUCAAGUUGUUUAUUAUAUUCAGAAUGAGAAACAUUACAAAUAUAGAAAAUGCUGCAAAGUCAGCUUGGUUUUUGUACUUUCAUAUGAACUAGUCUCUGAGUACCCAGAUUAAUUAGCUAAUCACUGCAUUGUCAAGUCUCUAUAAUGCUCUCUGCUGUAUCCUAUCACUGACUUUUUCUGGGUUAAGAUUUAUUUUGGGAAUUGAGAGCCAAGGCUGGAACACACUGAACAGAGUGUUCUAUUUCUGUGUGAAAUGAUAGAUGUUGCUCUUGCCCAGAAUGAAAAUGCUUUGCACUGCUCCCAAUCUGUAAAUUGUUCCAUUUGCUUGGCAUAAUAAGUAUACUGAUGUAUUUAAUUCUGUCUACCAGGCCCAUGCUGUUCAAUUCCCCUCUGCUAGCCAAAUAUACCAGAAGUCAUAAAUUUCUCUCCAAUAAGGAAACUAAAUGUGAUCUCUUCUAUAAGUAAAAGCAGUGUUAGUGUCCUGUUAUUAUUUUUUGGAGUUACCGUAUGUUUUAAAUCCAAGAUUAGCAAAAGAUUUGUUAUAAUCUUUUCACUUUUAUCAACUACUUAGUCCAGCAAACAUACCGACAAAAUAAUUGUAUAUGCUCAAAGGUACAGUCUGUGGAAAUGAUUCGAUGUUUGUAUAACUACCACUUUCUUUCAAAAUGAACCUUCAUUUUGUUCUCUCCUUUUCACAUACAUCAAAUGAAAAAAAGACUGUUUUGACUUCAUAUAUUAAAAGAUGAAAUGACU
This 1676-nucleotide long non-coding RNA is filed under the name Homo sapiens (human). RNAcentral describes it as "HSALNT0204800". The record is from RNAcentral. Lineage: Eukaryota; Metazoa; Chordata; Mammalia; Primates; Hominidae.